AUACGGAGGAUCCGAGCGUUAUCCGGAUUUAUUGGGUUUAAAGGGAGCGUAGGCGGACGCUUAAGUCAGUUGUGAAAGUUUGCGGCUCAACCGUAAAAUUGCAGUUGAUACUGGGUGUCUUGAGUACAGUAGAGGCAGGCGGAAUUCGUGGUGUAGCGGUGAAAUGCUUAGAUAUCACGAAGAACUCCGAUUGCGAAGGCAGCCUGCUGGACUGUAACUGACGCUGAUGCUCGAAAGUGUGGGUAUCAAACAGGAUUAGAUACCCUGGUAGUCCACACAGUAAACGAUGAAUACUCGCUGUUUGCGAUAUACAGUAAGCGGCCAAGCGAAAGCGUUAGGUAUUCCACCUGGGGAGUACGCCGGCAACGGUGAAACUCAAGGGAAUUGACGGGG
Molecule: ribosomal RNA, 393 nt
Filed under: uncultured bacterium
Lineage: Bacteria
Description: partial 16S ribosomal RNA
Rfam family: Bacterial small subunit ribosomal RNA
Source: RNAcentral